UGUUGGGUUAAGUCCCGCAACGAGCGCAACCCCUAUCGUAUGUUACCAUCCUUCAGUUGGGGACUCAUGCGAUACUGCCUGCGACGAGCAGGAGGAAGGUGGGGAUGACGUCAAGUCAUCAUGCCCCUUAUACGCUGGGCUACACACGUGCUACAAUGGGUAGUACAGAGAGCGGCAAACCCGCGAGGGGGAGCAAAUCUCAGAAAACUAUUCUUAGUUCGGAUUGUACUCUGCAACUCGAGUACAUGAAGUUGGAAUCGCUAGUAAUCGCAAAUCAGCAAUGUUGCGGUGAAUACGUUCUCGGGUCUUGUACACACCGCCCGUCACACCACGAGAGUUGGUUGCACCUGAAGUAGCAGGCCUAACCUUAGGGAAGGAUGCUCCGAGGGUGUGGUUAGCGAUUGGGGUGAAGUCGUAACAAGGUAUCCGUACGGGAACGUGCGGAUGGAUCACCUCCUUUCUAAGGAG
This 468-nucleotide ribosomal RNA is filed under the name Fusobacterium necrophorum subsp. funduliforme B35. RNAcentral describes it as "bacterial SSU rRNA". It matches the Rfam family "Bacterial small subunit ribosomal RNA", at positions 1073 to 1533 of the family's 1533-position model. Lineage: Bacteria; Fusobacteriati; Fusobacteriota; Fusobacteriia; Fusobacteriales; Fusobacteriaceae. The record is from RNAcentral.